RNAcentral lists this ribosomal RNA (774 nucleotides) under uncultured Neocallimastigales. RNAcentral's name for it is "partial large subunit ribosomal RNA". It matches the Rfam family "Eukaryotic large subunit ribosomal RNA", at positions 24 to 616 of the family's 3401-position model. The record is from RNAcentral. Lineage: Eukaryota; Fungi; Neocallimastigomycota; Neocallimastigomycetes; Neocallimastigales.
GUAGUCUCGCACAGAUGCAUAUCAAUAAGCGGAGGAAAAGAAACUAACAAGGAUUCCCUUAGUAACGGCGAGUGAAGCGGGAAGAGCUCAAAUUUGAAAUCUUCAAGGGUUUACCUUUACGAAUUGUAGUUUAAAGAAGAGUUUUCUGUUGAGGUUUUGGUAAAAGUUCUUUGGAAUAGGACAUCAUAGAGGGUGAGAAUCCCGUAUUUGACCAUUACUUUCAACUGUGUGAUACACUUUCAAAGAGUCGGAUUGUUUGGGAAUGCAGUCCAAAAUGGGUGGUAAAUUUCAUCUAAAGCUAAAUAUUGGCGAGAGACCGAUAGCGAACAAGUACCGUGAGGGAAAGAUGAAAAGAACUUUGAAAAGAGAGUUAAACAGUACGUGAAAUUGUCAAAAGGGAAGCGUUUGACACCAGUGUUGUUUUCUCGAAAAUCAAUUAAAAAGAGUUAGAUUUUGUUGUGUAUUGACCUUAACAGCUUGCAUUUCAAUUUUCUUGCUUUUUUUAAUGCACUUUUCGUUUAACAAGUCAACAUCAGUUUCUUUUGUUGUAAAAAGGUCAUUGGAAGGUGGCUUUCUUUUCGGAGAAAGUGUUUAUAGCCUUUGACUCCUGCAAUCGGAGAGACUGAGGUCUGCAGCGUAGAUCCUUCGGGGUUAGAUACAUUUGUGCUAAGUUAUAGCUUUUUAUAGACAACUUGUUGACUAUGAUUAGUCUUGUAGCUUACUCGCUUAUGCUAUUUUACCUACGCUUAGGAUGUUGAGCGCAUGUCUCUCUCU